GAGUGUAGCGGUGAAAUGCGUAGAUAUUCGGAGGAACACCAAUUGCGAAGGCAGCUCACUGGGCCGCUAUCGACGCUGAGGAGCGAAAGCUAGGGGAGCAAACAGGAUUAGAUACCCUGGUAGUCCUAGCUGUAAACGAUGGAUACUAGACGUAGGAACUGGAUUGACGGUUUCUGUGUCGUAGCUAACGCGUUAAGUAUCCCGCCUGGGGAGUACGGUCGCAAGACUAAAACUCAAAGGAAUUGACGGGACCCCGCACAAGCGGCGGAGCAUGCGGCUUAAUUCGAUGAUACCCGUAGAACCUUACCUGGACUUGACAUAUAGGGUCUAGCUAUAGAGAUAUAGUGUGCAUUAGCGCCCUAUACAGGUGGUGCAUGGCUGUCGUCAGCUCGUGUCGUGAGAUGUUGGGUUAAGUCCCGCAACGAGCGCAACCCACGUCUUUAGUUGCCAGCAUUUAGUUGGGCACUCUAGAGAGACUGCCGGUGAUAAACCGGAGGAAGGUGUGGAUGACGUCAAGUCAUCAUGCCCCUUACAUCCUGGGCUACACACGUACUACAAUGCUACGGACAAAGGGCUGCAAGUUCGCGAGGACAAGCAAAUCCCAUAAACCGUGGCUCAGUUCAGAUCGUAGGCUGCAACUCGCCUACGUGAAGGCGGAAUCGCUAGUAAUCGCAGGUCAGCAUACUGCGGUGAAUACGUUCCCGGGCCUUGUACACACCGCCCGUCACACCAUGGAAGUUGGCCACGCCCGAAGUCGUUACUCCAACCCUUGUGGAGGAGGACGUCGAAGGUGGGGCUGAUGACUGGGGUGAAGUCGUAACAAGGUAGCCGUA
Molecule: ribosomal RNA, 833 nt
Filed under: uncultured bacterium
Lineage: Bacteria
Description: bacterial SSU rRNA
Rfam family: Bacterial small subunit ribosomal RNA
Source: RNAcentral